AAAGUCGUAACGGUAAGUUUAGGAUCAGCGCUGCUCUGUGUGGCUCACUCUCUGGGUUGUUUGGUCACAGGAAGCUGCAGUAGUUCGCCCAACCACUAGAUGGAGCACAGCUGCAGCCACUCAGUCGUUAGCAGCCAGUCAGAGCAGAGCAGGCUCAGCUUAGCCAUUCCUUUAUUUUAUUUUUCUGCCUAUACUGCAGUUCAUUCUUAUAACCUGUCUUGUGGAGGAAAAUGAAUAAAGAUAUUAAACACAUUGACUGGAUAAUACCCGCUCGACAGUGCAGCUUUCAGCCCAAACACGGGGGCAGCAGUAGUGUAUUGGACUGCAACCCUGACGACACAGGUUCGAUCCUGCAUGAGGAGUGGCCCAUGCCAUUCUGUUUCUUGAUUGCAAUAUGCAAUCCUGAAAUUGGACACCAGGGGAGCUUAAGGAAAAGGACCAGGGAAGUCUGAUCCAGAGAGAGAUUUCAGGGCUCCUCAUCUUUCCUGACCUGGAACAACAUCCUGCUCAAUCAAAGCAUCUCUGUACUCUGUUCCAAUUGGUGUGUUACAGUUUAUCAUUAUUCUUGGGGUUAAUUAGAAAUGAGUGUCAUUUUUGUUUUUGUCUACCCUUUUUACCUGAUUUGGUGGCAGGAAAUCUGAGUGGUUUUGGUGUAUUUUGGUAAUUUUUAGGUUUAAUUAGCUCUUUCUCAGUGUUAUUUAUUGUUUUGGCGAAUUUUUACCUUGGAGUUGUAAUUCCCAUCCUUUUGGCAAUAAAAUCAUCUUGGUUUAUUCA
This 774-nucleotide long non-coding RNA is filed under the name Astyanax mexicanus (Mexican tetra). RNAcentral describes it as "lncRNA (ENSAMXG00005014559.1)". The record is from RNAcentral. Lineage: Eukaryota; Metazoa; Chordata; Actinopteri; Characiformes; Acestrorhamphidae.